GGCCCGUUGGUCAAGCGGUUAAGACACCGCCCUUUCACGGCGGUAUCAAGGGUUCGAAUCCCCUACGGGUCACCA
This 75-nucleotide transfer RNA is filed under the name Sporomusaceae bacterium. RNAcentral's name for it is "tRNA-Glu". It matches the Rfam family "tRNA". Rfam says of the family: Transfer RNA (tRNA) molecules are approximately 80 nucleotides in length. Their secondary structure includes four short double-helical elements and three loops (D, anti-codon, and T loops). The record is from RNAcentral. Lineage: Bacteria; Bacillati; Bacillota; Negativicutes; Selenomonadales; Sporomusaceae.